Clupea harengus (Atlantic herring) is the source of this 3358-nucleotide long non-coding RNA. NCBI's taxonomy places the organism in Eukaryota, Metazoa, Chordata, Actinopteri, Clupeiformes, Clupeidae. The record is from Ensembl.
CAGCAGUGGACCGCGAGCCUAUUGGAAAACACGCACAGUAUUCCCCCCUCACUCCUGUCUGGCGCGCCGGGUCUGCAGUGGAGCUGUUAACAGAUGAUCCCGAAACCGGCAUCUAAGUGAGAACCAGAGCAAUGGGACGCUCCCUGAGUGGCAACAUCAGAGUCCCUUUCUCUUCCGAAAUGGAGGGGAUCGACAAUGAAUACUCAACAUUCCUUUCACCUGAUGUUGGAUAGAUAGGGUUUUUAUCAUGAAAAAAAACCUACAGGGGAGAUUUUACCCCCAUAUUGUAAUGUUUUUAUUUCCAUAGUCAUUUUCUUUUAUGUGUUUUUGUGUUUGUUUUGGUUGACUGUACGGUAUGAGGUAAAGCUCUACCAUGAGUGUGGGGCAUGGCUCCCUCUGUGUGUCUGUGUAUUUUAUUAUAGUUUUUUUUUUAUUAAUGUGUUAGGAAAACUCGGGACUCUAAGCCUUGAUGAUAUUUAAACCUUCUUGGGGGAGACGGAGGGAAAGAUGCCAAAAAAAAAGGGGGGGGGGGGAGAAAGCAACCUGAGGUAGAGCUGACAUGAUUGGAGCUACCCAGAAGCCCAUGCGUCUGUGUUUACAAACCCCACAGGUGGCCCCACACGGCCGACAGCCCUUGCAGCAGCAUGUCUUCCACUUGUCCACUCAACACACUUUGCACUGCUUGUUUCAUUCUCCACAUCCACUGUAUAUGUCGUUUUAGUUCGUAACCCCAGGCCCCAGCACCACAACCAUUUGUCAGCGCCCAACUCCCAGUUCAGACCUAUUCAAAGCCAAGCACAGCUCGUUUGUCUUGUUGAUUCACUCUGGUCUAUGCACUUGUUCACAAGUGCUCUGAUCAGGAUCUCAAAAGUCCCUGUGUCUUUUCUGUAUUUAAGCUUUAUGCAAGUCAGAACAUGUGCACCUCUGAACGAGAUGGCAAAAACAUCAGAAAUCCUACAGACAAUAAAACACUCAAUCUACAGGCACACCUUCCACGUGUGCUAACGACCCUCUUUUGUGAGUCACACACUAAAGAUCUAUGUUUAAUCUCAUUCUGAUACCACGGUCAAUCUAAUUUCACUAUUCACACUCUUGACAGUUAUUUCCUGAGGCUAAGAGUCCCUGCUUAUCAUGUAUUUUAGUAAGUGCUUUCUGAGCUCAUGGUGUGUUCAUUUUGUUUUAUUUUUAGAAUGUUGCUUUUUAGUUUUGUUGUUUUCUUUUCUUUUGGUUCUGUUUUGCUUUGCUAGUAUAAAAAGAUAUCUAUAAUAAUGUGCGUUGUAAUUUAGAAGUAGCUGUAGAAAUGCAUUGUUUCCUUGUGGUAAGUGAUUGAGAUGCUGCCACGGAAGUAAGACACUGAUGAAUGGUGCUAUUUUGGACUUUAAUCUGCUACUUGGUGAGGUAGCUCUGGUGGGUUUCAUUUUAUAUGUUCAUGUUCUGAGAAGGUGUUGGUUCUUUGUGGUCUGGACGUUGUAUACUUGGUCUGGAUUGACUUUUUUUUUCCUGUUGAUUUUCUGUGCGGCUUUCUCAUUGGAUUUAUGGAUGAAACAAACAAAAGAGGAAAAUAGGCACAGUUGAUAUUUUCAGAAGGUGGCGAUCCAAUCACGUGUGGAGGGUGGGAGCAAUCACAAAACUGCAAUCCUUUAAAAGAGCUGUUUUGCCCCCUCAGCACAGAUAAGACUCGGACAUGAUAGUUAUAGGCUAGUUCCCAGCACAGGUCACUUUUAGAAAAUGUAAUGCUCCCUCUAAUUAUGUACCACAUGAAGAGUCACACUAACUAUAUAAAGAGUGUAUUUUGUGGCGCAGUACUGUCAUGGGUACAUCAACCUGAGAUUUGCACAUUGCAUAUUAAGAAUGCUUCCAUCAAUCAAUCAAUCAAUCGAAGAAGUCUCAACACAUGCCACAGCAUUAAAUGAGCUUUCUGCUUCUUCCAUUGCUUUGCAUAGUUUAGAGGCUAUGAUGUGGGGAUGGGGGGAGGGUACGAAAUGGCGAACCAUUUUGCCAUAGUCCCUUCCAAAAGCCAUGCACCUUCUUCAGACGCAGCUCGUCUGGGGCUCAGGGGUGUUAGAUGCUGCAUCUUUACCAGCAGGCCAAGACCUGUACGUCUGAUAAUCUAACUGUCUCUGGUCAGACAGUCAAUCUUAAAUUGUGAUGCACAUAAUUUUUUUUAGAAAUGCAUUUUCCAAAAAAAGCCAAAUAUGUAGCAUAAAGAAGCUGAACAAUCUUCAUAAUGACUUACCUAUUUUGUAAAGUAAUAUUAGAAUUAUUUUUCUUUGAUAAAAUAUGAACCAAAAAGCUUUCUAUGAAUUAUUUUGUCUAGUGAGGUUAACUUAAGUAUUGUUAUUCAGUAUUUGCAGUUUUGUCUUUGCUUCCUGUCGAUUCAUACUUUUAAAAGUCUCAAUAUGACGACCAACUUGAAAGCCCACAUUAGUUUCUUUGUCUUCCAUUCUUACUCCAGUAUGGAGGACCCUCCUAGCUUACUGUAGUUCUUCCUUGACUCCAUUAUCCUGUCCACUUGCAUGUUCUGUGCUGUUUUGUUUCUCUUCAGUACUUUUUCAAUUAUUCUUCCUCAUAGACUAGGUAUGCCAGCUGUCUUGUACAUAGCAAGUGAUUAGUAUAGGCAGGGGCGGCAACAGUAUGAGAUAAUAUGUAUUAUUGAAUGUGUAUGAUUGGUUUUAAAAACUAAUGACAAAAAAAAACACACAAAACCAGCUUAGUUACAGUAUCUUAAUUAUGAAGCACUGAUAGUAUUCCAUGUACUUUUGGCAAAUUUAGCAGUAGUUAAAUAAAUUUGCAAGCUCUGAAAAAUGAAUCACCGUUUCUGUGUUUUAUUUCCCCCCUCUAGUUCUAGAAGCACCGUAGGCAUUGCCCCAUACUGGUUGAUAAAAUUCUGCAGUACACACAUCUGCGUUUAGUCAUUGGAUAUGGCAGAAAGAAAACAGAAGUUCAGUGUUUUCUUCGGGAGAAGGCAACUUAAUACACUCAUUUAAUUGUGAACUGAUGGGCUCCUAUGCAGUGUUCAUGGAUAAUGAUGGAAGUUUAAAGCAGAUCUGGGUUGACCUUUAAAAAGCACGCCCAUAUGUAGCAGCACCAUUUCCUGCCCCAGACAUGAACACCAUGGUUCAGACCUGCCAGAGAGACCAUUAGUGUUUUCUUCAAGGUGCUUUAAGUCACAAUAUGAGCCCUCUUGGCAGAUUUGGUUUCUGCCAUUUUAAAGGAAAGAAGUUUGCAAGGUCAUUGCACACCUUUACCCUUUACCAUCCCUACCUUAAGACUAUCAUUGAUGUUCUACACUGACACAUUUAAUGUGGCACGUGUGUGUCUCAUUCCUCAGAUUUGUAUUAUACAAUAUUAUAUUUCU